UACGGGGGGAGCAAGCGUUGUUCGGAAUUACUGGGCGUAAAGCGUGCGCAGGCGGUUAUGUAAGACAGAUGUGAAAUGCCCGGGCUUAACCUGGGAACUGCAUUUGUGACUGCAUGGCUAGAGUGUGUCAGAGGGGGGUAGAAUUCCACGUGUAGCAGUGAAAUGCGUAGAUAUGUGGAGGAAUACCGAUGGCGAAGGCAGCCCCCUGGGAUAACACUGACGCUCAUGCACGAAAGCGUGGGGAGCAAACAGG
RNAcentral lists this ribosomal RNA (253 nucleotides) under uncultured bacterium. Its description in RNAcentral is "partial 16S ribosomal RNA". It matches the Rfam family "Bacterial small subunit ribosomal RNA", at positions 524 to 776 of the family's 1533-position model. The record is from RNAcentral.